Molecule: ribosomal RNA, 24 nt
Filed under: Mycosphaerelloides madeirae
Lineage: Eukaryota; Fungi; Ascomycota; Dothideomycetes; Mycosphaerellales; Mycosphaerellaceae
Description: partial 28S ribosomal RNA
Source: RNAcentral
GUGACCUCGGAUCAGGUAGGGAUA